Molecule: ribosomal RNA, 497 nt
Filed under: uncultured bacterium
Lineage: Bacteria
Description: partial 16S ribosomal RNA
Rfam family: Bacterial small subunit ribosomal RNA
Source: RNAcentral
GACGAACGCUGGCGGCGUGCCUAAUACAUGCAAGUUGAGCGCUGAAGGUUGGUACUUGUACCAACUGGAUGAGCAGCGAACGGGUGAGUAACGCGUGGGGAAUCUGCCUUUGAGCGGGGGACAACAUUUGGAAACGAAUGCUAAUACCGCAUAAAAACUUUAAACACAAGUUUUAAGUUUGAAAGAUGCAAUUGCAUCACUCAAAGAUGAUCCCGCGUUGUAUUAGCUAGUUGGUGAGGUAAAGGCUCACCAAGGCGAUGAUACAUAGCCGACCUGAGAGGGUGAUCGGCCACAUUGGGACUGAGACACGGCCCAAACUCCUACGGGAGGCAGCAGUAGGGAAUCUUCGGCAAUGGACGAAAGUCUGACCGAGCAACGCCGUGGGAGUGAAGAAGGGUUUCGGAUCGUAAAACUCUGUUGGUAGAGAAGAACGUUGGUGAGAGUGGAAAGCUCAUCAAGUGACGGUAACUACCCAGAAAGGGACGGCUAACUACGUG